GUGGCAUCAAGGAAGAUGGAUGGGGAGUGUAAGAAGAACAGAUGGACCUAUCUGGAAGAACCUGUGAAAACUGUAGUGUUAGAAGCAUGGGUGCUGAAAUUGGAUGACUGAUUUAAAUCCUGGCUCUAUCCCUUCUUUGCUGUGAAAUCCUGGGCAAACCACUUGACCUCUGUAAGUCUUAGUUUCUACCACCAUAAAAUGGAGCUAAGAAUAUACCUACCUCAUUGGGC
Molecule: long non-coding RNA, 230 nt
Filed under: Dasypus novemcinctus (nine-banded armadillo)
Lineage: Eukaryota; Metazoa; Chordata; Mammalia; Cingulata; Dasypodidae
Description: lncRNA (ENSDNOG00000052703.1)
Source: RNAcentral